This 119-nucleotide ribosomal RNA is filed under the name Pteropus alecto (black flying fox). The record is from RNAcentral. Lineage: Eukaryota; Metazoa; Chordata; Mammalia; Chiroptera; Pteropodidae.
GUCUAUGGCCAUGCCACCCUGAACAAGCCCGAUCCUGUCUGAUCUCAGAAGCUAAGCAGCAUGUGGCAUGGUUAGUAUUUGGAUGGGAAACCACCUAGUAAGACCAGGUGCUAUAGGCA